AAGCUCGUAGUUGAAUUUCGGGAUUAGUACGUCGGUCGUACCUUAGGUACGUACUGGUGUUACUGGUUCCUACCUUCUGACGAACCAUCAUGUCAUUAAUUUGGUGUGGUGGGGAAUCAGGACUGUUACUUUGAAAAAAUUAGAGUGUUUAAAGCAGGCUCGCGCUUGAAUACAUUAGCAUGGAAUAAUGAAAUAGGACGUUGAUCCUAUUGUGUUGGUUUCUAGGAUUGACGUAAUGAUUAAUAGGGAUAGUUGGG
RNAcentral lists this ribosomal RNA (257 nucleotides) under uncultured Glomus. RNAcentral describes it as "partial 18S ribosomal RNA". It matches the Rfam family "Eukaryotic small subunit ribosomal RNA", at positions 624 to 886 of the family's 1831-position model. Lineage: Eukaryota; Fungi; Glomeromycota; Glomeromycetes; Glomerales; Glomeraceae. The record is from RNAcentral.